GAUGAACGCUGGCGGCGUGCCUAAUACAUGCAAGUCGAGCGAACAGACGAGGAGCUUGCUCCUCUGACGUUAGCGGCGGACGGGUGAGUAACACGUGGAUAACCUACCUAUAAGACUGGGAUAACUUCGGGAAACCGGAGCUAAUACCGGAUAAUAUAUUGAACCGCAUGGUUCAAUAGUGAAAGACGGUUUUGCUGUCACUUAUAGAUGGAUUCGCGCCGCAUUAGCUAGUUGGUAGGGUAACGGCUUACCAAGGCAACGAUGCGUAGCCGACCUGAGAGGAUGAUCAGCCACACUGGAACUGAGACACGGUCCAGACUCCUACGGGAGGCAGCAGUAGGGAAUCUUCCGCAAUGGGCGAAAGCCUGACGGAGCAACGCCGCGUGAGUGAAGAAGGUCUUCGGAUCGUAAAACUCUGUUAUUAGGGAAGAACAAAUGUGUAAGUAACUAGGCACGUCUUGACGGUACCUAAUCAGAAAGCCACGGCUAACUACGUG
RNAcentral lists this ribosomal RNA (497 nucleotides) under uncultured bacterium. Its description in RNAcentral is "partial 16S ribosomal RNA". It matches the Rfam family "Bacterial small subunit ribosomal RNA", at positions 28 to 507 of the family's 1533-position model. The record is from RNAcentral.